GUCACCUUGUCAUUCAGACUCCGGCAUAGCCUAUCACCUUAUCUUUCAGACUCUGGCUCAGCUGAGACUCGCUACACAUUUUCGACUGGUGAACUGGCUCUGAUACCAAAUAUAAUGACCCAGCCCACUAGCAACAAUAACUUGUUGGGCCCAACCACCGGCCCAAAAUGCUUAAGCCCAAUUAUUAUUACUAGUGUCUAAGUCUCUUAUAUACCAAAUCACAUCCCCAUUCAUAUCUGAUGUGGGAUUA
This 250-nucleotide long non-coding RNA is filed under the name Ananas comosus (pineapple). RNAcentral describes it as "long non-coding RNA (ACOM_LNC003640)". Lineage: Eukaryota; Viridiplantae; Streptophyta; Magnoliopsida; Poales; Bromeliaceae. The record is from RNAcentral.